RNAcentral lists this long non-coding RNA (1076 nucleotides) under Anser brachyrhynchus (Pink-footed goose). Its description in RNAcentral is "lncRNA (ENSABRG00000006781.1)". The record is from RNAcentral. Lineage: Eukaryota; Metazoa; Chordata; Aves; Anseriformes; Anatidae.
GGCUAGUGUAUCACAGAAGAGCAGCAAAAGACCGUGCUCCAUACAGUAUGCUAAUGGAUGCGUGAAUCUCUCCAAAAUAUGUAAUCUUCAGUUACAUACACAUGCAGAAAUGCAAGUAUUGUAAUGCCUGAAAUACACCCUCAGUUUACUCCAAUCACUUACUGUAAUCCUUGAAAUACAUGCUCAUAGCUGCAUCUGAUCACUGGAAAGCAAUGAAGAGAAAAUGAAGAAUGAAGAAAGAAGAAUCAGAUAUUCUGAAGAACUGCAAAGCUGUGAACACCUAUGAUGGCUGUGGCAUAGAAGACUACCCAUACCUGUCACUACAGAUCACACAACUUGUGGCUACAGCUGGAACAGUUCCCCCAAGACAAAAGAGGAGGUCAGAAACUGCAAUGCUUUAUGUUUCAGCAGUGACACUACCAUGGCUCCAUUGUUCACAUGCUGUAUUUCUUCCUCUUCUUUUUUGUUAUUCCUCUGGCAUGAAGACAUCACUUCAUCUUUGCCGAAUGCUCAACACCAGUCACAACUCAGGAGCUGGUCUUCUCUUCGAUGCUGCAUUAGUGCUGUGGAGGCAGGUAUUUCUUAGAAAAUGUCACAAAAGGUGCACACAUCUGUCUUUCUCAGUAACAGCCUGUAGCAUGGAUAGGUUUUCCUUCCUGCAGAAACUUCAACUGCAUGUUUCUGUUUUCUCCUUAGAAGUACCGCCUUGUGCCCCUUCUCUGUCUCCAUGACUUCACCCCAGUGUGACCACUUUGCUCCUGUGCCAGCCCAGUCCUGCUCCUCAAGCACAUGGCUUGCCACUGCAUGCAGCACCUUACAGAUGCUGAAGACAAUUUCACACUGGCAGACCUCUGGCUCAGAAAGUAGACUCAUCACAGCAUCAUGGCAUUCAGAUGAGGACACUGCCUCGGCAUGGUUUACAGAGGAAGAGGAAGGGAUAAGAAGAAGUCACCAACAGCCUGAGAAAACAAUAAGCUUAAUGAGAAUCCCUGAACCUACCCUUCCCUAGCCAAGUCUCUCCUUUCUCCUGUAAAUUUGUCCCAGUUAUAAUAAAUGCAAAGCCAGUUGUUGCUUCA